AGCGAACGCUGGCGGCAGGCCUAACACAUGCAAGUCGAGCGCCGUAGCAAUACGGAGCGGCAGACGGGAGAGUAACACGUGGGAACGUGCCCUUUGGUUCGGAACAACCCAGGGAAACUUGGGCUAAUACCGGAUAAGUCCUUACGGGGAAAGAUUUAUCGCCGAAGGAUCGGCCCGCGUCUGAUUAGCUAGUUGGUGGGGUAAUGGCCCACCAAGGCGACGAUCAGUAGCUGGUCUGAGAGGGUGAUCAGCCUCACUGGGACUGAGACACGGCCCAGACUCCUACGGGAGGCAGCAGUUGGGAAUAUUGGACAAUGGGCGCAAGCUUGAUCCAGCCAUGCCGCGUGGGUGAUGAAGGCCCUAGGGUUGUAAAGCCCUUUCGGUGGGGAAGAUAAUGACGGUACCCGCAGAAGAAGCCCCGGCUAACUUCGUGCCAGCAGCCGCAGUAA
This 449-nucleotide ribosomal RNA is filed under the name uncultured bacterium. RNAcentral describes it as "partial 16S ribosomal RNA". It matches the Rfam family "Bacterial small subunit ribosomal RNA", at positions 29 to 523 of the family's 1533-position model. The record is from RNAcentral.